GAGGGUUCGGCCCUCGGCAGACGGCCCAGUAACACGUGGAUAAUCUGCCCUUAGGUGGAGGAUAAUCUCGGGAAACUGAGGAUAAUACUCCAUAGAUCUAGGAUGCUGGAAUGCACUUAGAUUAAAAGUCCCGGCGCCUAAGGAUGAGUCUGCGGACUAUCAGGUAGUAGUCAGGGUAAAGGCCUGACUAGCCUACGACGGAUACGGGUUGUGAGAACAAUAACCCGGAGACGAUAUCUGAGACACGAUAUCGGGCCCUACGGGGCGCAGCAGGCGCGAAAACUUCACACUGUGCGAAAGCACGAUGAGGGAAUCCCAAGUGCUUGCUCGUAAGAGUAAGCUGUUUUUAUGUCUAAAAAGCAUACAGAGUAAGGGCUGGGUAAGACGGGUGCCAGCCGCCGCGGUAAUACCUGCAGCUCAAGUGGUGACCACUAUUAUUGGGCCUAAAACGUUCGUAGCCGGUUUAUUAAAUGCUUGGGUAAAUCGUGUAGCUUAACUAUACGAAUUCCGGGUAGACUGAUAGACUUGAGACCGGGAGAAGCUAGAGGUACUCCUGGGGUAGAGGUGAAAUUCUGUAAUCCUGGGG
This 586-nucleotide ribosomal RNA is filed under the name uncultured archaeon. RNAcentral describes it as "bacterial SSU rRNA". It matches the Rfam family "Archaeal small subunit ribosomal RNA", at positions 62 to 653 of the family's 1478-position model. The record is from RNAcentral.